Phascolarctos cinereus (koala) is the source of this 869-nucleotide non-coding RNA. NCBI's taxonomy places the organism in Eukaryota, Metazoa, Chordata, Mammalia, Diprotodontia, Phascolarctidae. The record is from RefSeq and is a predicted model, not a curated record.
UGAGCGUGGACCUAGAUGGUCAAGGAGACAACAGUUACGAGAAGAAAGAAGGUCUUCAUGGUCUGAGGGCUCCUGGUGCUAGAGAGUCACUAAUGAAAUAGUAGCAGCCUGCUUGUCUCCAAAGAGCAGAGAAAAACUGAUCCCUUAUUUCUACCAGAGUUCAGGAAGCCACAUCACAGCCUGCCACUCACAAAGAAGGAAAAGCCUAAGAAUUCAUGGGGACAGGUGGAUCUGAUGUCAUCCAUUUUCUCCUAAACCUGCUUUGAGGUUCUUCUGGUCUCAUAGAUCCAUCCACAUAUGUACCAAAGUCUCAUUUAUUUAUUUUGUGCCUGUUUCCCAUCUGGCUACCUAUUUGCCUCCUACAUAGUCAGGGCAGAUCUGAGGAAACCUUCAGAUUAAACAGAAAAACUCCAGGUAAAAGUGGUGUCCAAGACAGUGAAAAACUGUUUAGGAAGAUAGAAGCAGUCAGCAAGGACAUGGAAAGCAUAUGGCAAGGAAGUUCCCAGGGAUGUCAGGGCAGCACUCUGUUCCUGAAGAAACACAUGUCCGAAGGCAUUGGGGAAACGUUGUUGCAUGCAGAAUUUCUCAGGAUACAUUUGCUGCUCUUUAUAAGCCUCUGAGAGCCAUGAGCAAUGCAGAGCUGUCUGGCUGUCCUUGGGAAUCUACUGAUUGACUAUUCAGUGUUCAGAAUCCUCUUCAUGCAAUUACAACCUUAUCUUUUGAGACAUGUGUCUGUGUGGUGACUGUACAAGCUGUUUUCCAGAAGUUCUGUCACUUCUGAAGCUCACUAGUUCUCUCAGUGGGUUAUUGACUCAUUUUUUUUCUCCCUUAAAGACCUUGGCUUCUCUUGUCAGAAGUCCUUUCCCUAA